This 301-nucleotide ribosomal RNA is filed under the name Cardinium endosymbiont of Sepsis punctum. RNAcentral's name for it is "bacterial SSU rRNA". It matches the Rfam family "Bacterial small subunit ribosomal RNA", at positions 475 to 777 of the family's 1533-position model. The record is from RNAcentral. Lineage: Bacteria; Pseudomonadati; Bacteroidota; Cytophagia; Cytophagales; Amoebophilaceae.
UUACUGUAAGAAUAAGCACCGGCUAACUACGUGCCAGCAGCCGCGGUAAUACGUAGGGUGCAAGCGUUAAUCGGAAUUACUGGGCGUAAAGCGUGCGCAGGCGGUUCGGAAAGAAAGAUGUGAAAUCCCAGGGCUCAACCUUGGAAUGGCAUUUUUAACUCCCGAACUAGAGUGUGUCAGAGGGAGGUGGAAUUCCGCGUGUAGCAGUGAAAUGCGUAGAUAUGCGGAGGAACACCGAUGGCGAAGGCAGCCUCCUGGGAUAACACUGACGCUCAGGCACGAAAGCGUUAAGUGAUCCACA